GCCUUCGUGGUGUAGUAGUUAACACGCUGGACGCAUAACCGAGAGGUCCGUGGUUCGACUCCCGGCGAAGGCG
Molecule: non-coding RNA, 73 nt
Organism: Stegodyphus mimosarum
Lineage: Eukaryota; Metazoa; Arthropoda; Arachnida; Araneae; Eresidae
Source: Rfam